CAGUAGCCACGGUAAUACUAAGGGGGCUAGCGUUGUUCGGAAUUACUGGGCGUAAAGCGCACGUAGGCGGAUAUUUAAGUCAGGGGUGAAAUCCCGCAGCUCAACUGCGGAACUGCCUUUGAUACUGGGUAUCUUGAGUAUGGAAGAGGUUAGUGGAAUUGCGAGUGUAGAGGUGAAAUUCGUAGAUAUUCGCAGGAACACCAGUGGCGAAGGCGGCUAACUGGUCCAUAACUGACGCUGAGGUGCGAAAGCGUGGGGAGCAAACAGGAUUAGAUACCCCAGUAGUCCCUGUCUCUUAUAC
This 301-nucleotide ribosomal RNA is filed under the name uncultured bacterium. RNAcentral describes it as "partial 16S ribosomal RNA". It matches the Rfam family "Bacterial small subunit ribosomal RNA", at positions 509 to 807 of the family's 1533-position model. The record is from RNAcentral.